RNAcentral lists this long non-coding RNA (2284 nucleotides) under Homo sapiens (human). RNAcentral describes it as "non-protein coding MIR100HG:80". The record is from RNAcentral. Lineage: Eukaryota; Metazoa; Chordata; Mammalia; Primates; Hominidae.
GAAUUACUCUUGGAGUAGCAAUUGCUGGAUGUGCCUCUUUUGUUGAGGUGAUUGGAUCUUUUGGCAAAAACCAGUGACUGCAAAGGAUGAGAGAAACGAUCAGAAAAACUGAAAAGCUGUAGGAGACCAAACACUAGUGUCUCCCCUGCUUCAGGGGACACCCACUGUCAGAGUGAACGACAAAGACGCGCGUGGAUGAUUUGAAGAUAUUAGCCUAACAAGAUGGAAGCAGGUUUAAAAUUUUACAUAAGAAGUUACCUUUUUCAGGUAAUGGUGUUUUUCUGUAAUUUUCCCAAACCUUUCGCUUCCUCAAGUAUUGCAAAUUUUUAGGGCAUGCUUGAAUGAUUUAAUUAUGAAGAAUAACUACAUUUUAAACUUAAUUUUUUAAAAAAGAAACCAGUUUUAUAAUUUUCCUAGCCAAGGAGUAGAGCAGGCAUGACAUUCAACUCUAUGGAGUUUGGAAAAUUUUUAGAAAUUUAUUACUGAACAGCACUUGGUUUUUUGGAUUUGAAAAUUAAGCCAUAGAGCUACAACUAAAUUCUGUUUUGCCAAACUUCACAGCACCAGCAGGCUCUGAGCAAUCAUAAGCAUUUGAAACUAGCAGGCACUGCCCCUUAACUCUGUCGCUAUCUUGGGCAUUUGAAUGAAAAAAUAUAAGUAUUACAGGAUUGGCUCUAAAAAGCCUACCAUGUGUUCUGAAUUCCUGGAAGAUAGAGCUUAUAUAAAUUACAUAAUAACAAUAUUGAUUUUUUUUUUUACUUUAGUCAUAGAUUGGCAAUACUAUAUGGCACUUUAUGAAACUAUUCCCAUGCAUAUAUUCAGUGAGUAGGAUUUGAUCUUAGCUUUCAUGAUACAGGCAGUUUCCUUUUAGUGUCAUUGAAGGGCUUUAUGCCACCUAAAAAUGUUUAAUAACAUAAAUUAUAUAUUUGCUUUAUAAGUUACAUUACUCGGCCUUUGUCACUGCUUAUCAGCAUUAACCCAUAUUUUCCAACUUGUUAAUAUUACUAAGAGAGCCCACGGAUUCUUGCUUAAUGAAGCAAGCCAAAAUUUCUUCUGAAAAAAACCCCUCAUUUUCCUCCUCAACACAAAGAAGAUUCUUAAAGGACGUAUUCAAUUAAUACUUUAAGAAAAAUAUCUACUCCCAAACAAACCAUCCCUUUACUAGGUCAGUAUUUGAUUUUCUUCUCGUUUUUUUCCUGCAGCCUGGGUAUCUUCUGGUUGCUCUUUUAUUUUCUAAAAUGGAAACUUUGGAUUGUUUGGAGGUUAACACUACAAACCAUUUGAAAUGAAAAACUUCUCUCUGUUCUAUAUUUGCCAAGGAAAGGGAGAGCUGCCCCCAGCUGAAACGCAGCAUUGAGCUCCUUUCUGUGGAGGUCAAGAGCGCCAUGCAAAUUUAUGAAAGUGGUGCUAUUUGAAUGUCUCAGUGUACCACUUUGAUAGAUCUUAGUCUAUCGCUAACAAAUAUUGUAUCGUUCUAGUAAGCGUGAUGAUAACAAUUCAUUCUCAUUACUCUGGGACGUUGGGCUUAUUCUGCUCCAUUAUAAUAGGAGCACCUACAUCCCCCACAUUCCAGCAAUAUUUAACAGGGUUCAAAGUGGCCAUCCUCAAAUACCUCUAGCCCCAUGCCUUUGUCAGAGAGACGGAAGGAAAAGAAGCAGCUCAGAGCUUAUUUAAAAGUCUUUUAUUUUAGAAAGGAAAUGAACAUUUUAAAAUAAAAUAAAUAAAGACCAUCUGGGGGUGACUGAUUUGGAUACUACUUACUUCCACUUGCUAUUGUUAUUUCUUUGGAUCUGAAAAUUAAGCCACAGAGCUACAACUAGAUUCUCAGUUUUGCCAACCUUCACAGCACCAGCAGGCUCUGAGCAAUUGUACCACAGCUCACUUGUGAUGAGAUGGGGAAACAACAAAGUAUCUAUGAAUGGUUAUGUCUCAGUUUCUGUUCAUCGUACUGUUGGUUUCCUGUUCUCUUUAUUUAACUUUUUAGGUUGCAUACACGAGGGCCUGCUCUUUUCUCUGAAUAAUUCCUCAAUUCAGCUCUGUCUUUUUUUGUUCCCCUUGGUAGGGCUUCAGUUCAUCUCCCAGAUUCUUUUUUUUUUUUUUUUUUUUUUUUUUUGAGACAAAAUCUCACUCUGUUGCCUAGGCUGGAGUGCAGUGGCACAAUCUCGGCUCAUUGCAACCUCUGCCUCCCAGGCUCAAGCAACUCUCAUGCCUCAGCCUCCAGAGUAGCUGGGAUUACAGGCGCACGCCACCAUGCCCAGCUAAUUUUUUUGUAUUUUUAGUAGAG